AACGCUAGCGGCGCGCUUAAUGCAUGCAAGUCGAGCGAUGAGGCCCUCUUCGGGGGGUACAUCAGCGGCAGACGGGUGAGUAACACGUAGGUGAUCUACCCCAGAGACGGGGAUAACGGGUGGAAACAUCCGCUAAUACCGGAUAGACUUGUUCGGUCAAAGGGACAAGGAAAGGCUCCGGCGCUCUGGGAGGAGCCUGCGGCCCAUCAGCUAGUUGGCGGGGUAACGGCCCACCAAGGCAAAGACGGGUAGGGGGUGUGAGAGCAUGGCCCCCCACAAUGGGACUGGAACACGGCCCAUACUCCUACGGGAGGCAGCAGCAGGGAAUAUUGCACAAUGGACGGAAGUCUGAUGCAGCGACGCCGCGUGGAUGAAGAAGGCCCUCGGGUUGUAAAAUCCUUUACAGGGGGAAGAGGAAGGACGGUACCCCUGGAACAAGUGUCGGCUAACUACGUGCCAGCAGCCGCGGUAAGACGUAGGACACAAGCGUUAUCCGGAUUUACUGGGCGUAAAGCGUCUGCAGGCGGACAGGUAAGUUGGGCGUGAAAGCUCCGGGCCCAACCCGGAGAGGUCGUUCAAUACUGCGUGUCUAGAGGGUGUCAGAGGGGAGUGGAAUUUCCGGAGUAGCGGUAAAAUGCGCAGAGAUCGGAAAGAACACCAAUGGCGAAGGCAGCUCCCUGGGGCAACCCUGACGCUAAGAGACGAAAGCUAGGGGAGCGAACAGGAUUAGAGACCCUGGUAGUCCUAGCCCUAAACGAUGGAUGCUGGAUGUGGGGCCAUAGCGCUCCGUGUCGAAGCGAACGCGUUAAG
Molecule: ribosomal RNA, 810 nt
Filed under: uncultured organism
Description: bacterial SSU rRNA
Rfam family: Bacterial small subunit ribosomal RNA
Source: RNAcentral